Molecule: ribosomal RNA, 468 nt
Filed under: uncultured bacterium
Lineage: Bacteria
Description: partial 16S ribosomal RNA
Rfam family: Bacterial small subunit ribosomal RNA
Source: RNAcentral
GACGAACGCUGGCGGCGUGCUUAACACAUGCAAGCCGAACGGAAAGACCCUGCUUUUGUUGCUUUCUCGAUUGGCGAACGGGUGAGUAACACGUGAGUAACCUGCCCUUGACUUUCUGAGAACUUCUGGAAACUGGGGCUAAUACCGGAUAUGAUCUCCUGCUCCAUGGUGUUGGUUGGAAAGUUUCGGCUGUUGGGGAUGGACUCGCGGCUUAUCAGCUUGUUGGUGUGGUAGGUGCUUACCAAGGCUUUGACGGGUAGCCGGCCUGAGAGGGGGACCGGCCACAUGGGGCCUGCGAUACGGAGCAGUAUGCAAUGGGCGGCAGCAGUGGGGAAUAUUGCACAAUGGGGGGAAGCGUGAUGCAGAAACGCCGCGUGCGGGAUGACGGCCUACGGGUUGUAAACAGCUGUCGAAGGUGACGAAGAGUGAGUGACGGUAAUGGGUAAAGAAGCACCGGCUAACUACGUG